This 483-nucleotide ribosomal RNA is filed under the name uncultured diatom. Its description in RNAcentral is "bacterial SSU rRNA". It matches the Rfam family "Bacterial small subunit ribosomal RNA", at positions 959 to 1445 of the family's 1533-position model. The record is from RNAcentral. Lineage: Eukaryota; Bacillariophyta.
ACGCGAAGAACCUUACCAGGGUUUGACAUGAUACGAAUUUCUUUGAAAAAAGAAAGUGCUGUUUAGAGCGUAUAUACAGGUGGUGCAUGGCUGUCGUCAGCUCGUGUCGUGAGAUGUUGGGUUAAGUCCCGCAACGAGCGCAACCCUUGUUUUUAGUUGCCUUGCUUUAAAGGAACUCUAAAAAGACUGCUGGUUAUAAACCGGAGGAAGGUGGGGAUGACGUCAAGUCAGCAUGCCCCUUACACCCUGGGCUACACACGUGCUACAUUGGACGAGACAAUGAGAUGCAAACCUGCAAAGGCUAGCGAAUCUACAAACUCGUUCUAAGUUCGGAUUGUAGGCUGCAACUCGCCUACAUGAAGGUGGAAUCGCUAGUAAUCGCUGGUCAGCUAUACAGCGGUGAAUUCGUUCCCGGGCCUUGUACACACCGCCCGUCACACCAUGGAAGCUGGUUAUGCCCGAAGUCAUUACUCUAACCAUUNG